Molecule: non-coding RNA, 64 nt
Organism: Caenorhabditis elegans
Lineage: Eukaryota; Metazoa; Nematoda; Chromadorea; Rhabditida; Rhabditidae
Source: Ensembl
ACAGACAUUUAAAGUCUGUGGCCUAGUUUUGGAAUUCUAGGCCACCAACUUUAAAAGCUCAUAA